RNAcentral lists this ribosomal RNA (180 nucleotides) under uncultured Bacillus sp. RNAcentral describes it as "partial 16S ribosomal RNA". It matches the Rfam family "Bacterial small subunit ribosomal RNA", at positions 161 to 334 of the family's 1533-position model. Lineage: Bacteria; Bacillati; Bacillota; Bacilli; Caryophanales; Bacillaceae. The record is from RNAcentral.
GGCUAAUACCGGAUAAUUCUUUUCUACACAUGUAGAAAAGCUGAAAGAUGGUUUCGGCUAUCACUCAUAGAUGGGCCCGCGGCGCAUUAGCUAGUUGGUGAGGUAACGGCUCACCAAGGCGACGAUGCGUAGCCGACCUGAGAGGGUGAUCGGCCACACUGGCACUGAGACACGGCCCAG